GGUCAGGACGAACGCUGGCGGCGUGCCUAAUACAUGCAAGUCGAACGGUCUUUCUAUGGAAGCUUGCUUCCACUGAGAAGAUAGUGGGCGAACGGGUGAGUAACACGUGGGUAACCUGCCCAUAAGAGGGGGAUAACAUCCGGAAACGGGUGCUAAUACCGCAUAGUUUUCUUGGUCGCAUGAUCGGGAAAGGAAAGACGGCCUUUGUGCUGUCGCUUAUGGAUGGACCCGCGGCGUAUUAGUUAGUUGGUGAGGUAACGGCUCACCAAGACGAUGAUACGUAGCCGACCUGAGAGGGUGAUCGGCCACAUUGGGACUGAGACACGGCCCAAACUCCUACGGGAGGCAGCAGUAGGGAAUCUUCCGCAAUGGGACGAAAGUCUGACGGAGCAACGCCGCGUGAGUGAAGAAAGGUUUUCGGAUCGUAAAACUCUGUUGUCAGAGAAGAACAAGUUGGAGAGUAACUGCUCCAGCCUUGACGGUAUCUGACCAGAAAGCCACGGCUAACUACGUGCCAGCAGCGGC
RNAcentral lists this ribosomal RNA (525 nucleotides) under uncultured bacterium. RNAcentral's name for it is "bacterial SSU rRNA". It matches the Rfam family "Bacterial small subunit ribosomal RNA", at positions 22 to 518 of the family's 1533-position model. The record is from RNAcentral.